This 497-nucleotide ribosomal RNA is filed under the name uncultured bacterium. Its description in RNAcentral is "partial 16S ribosomal RNA". It matches the Rfam family "Bacterial small subunit ribosomal RNA", at positions 28 to 507 of the family's 1533-position model. The record is from RNAcentral.
GAUGAACGCUGGCGGCGUGCCUAAUACAUGCAAGUCGAGCGAACAGACGAGGAGCUUGCUCCUCUGACGUUAGCGGCGGACGGGUGAGUAACACGUGGAUAACCUACCUAUAAGACUGGGAUAACUUCGGGAAACCGGAGCUAAUACCGGAUAAUAUAUUGAACCGCAUGGUUCAAUAGUGAAAGACGGUUUUGCUGUCACUUAUAGAUGGAUCCGCGCCGCAUUAGCUAGUUGGUAAGGUAACGGCUUACCAAGGCGACGAUGCGUAGCCGACCUGAGAGGGUGAUCGGCCACACUGGAACUGAGACACGGUCCAGACUCCUACGGGAGGCAGCAGUAGGGAAUCUUCCGCAAUGGGCGAAAGCCUGACGGAGCAACGCCGCGUGAGUGAUGAAGGUCUUCGGAUCGUAAAACUCUGUUAUUAGGGAAGAACAAAUGUGUAAGUAACUAUGCACGUCUUGAUGGUACCUAAUCAGAAAGCCACGGCUAACUACGUG